This 469-nucleotide long non-coding RNA is filed under the name Homo sapiens (human). RNAcentral's name for it is "non-protein coding lnc-AURKB-5:2". The record is from RNAcentral. Lineage: Eukaryota; Metazoa; Chordata; Mammalia; Primates; Hominidae.
CGGAAUGCACACAAUGAGAUCCUUGAAGAGCCACAUCACUGUCCCCUCCAGAAAGUAUGAGGAUGUGGGGGAAGGAUGGUGGCAGAACACUGGAGGACACCUGGGGCCCAUGGGACACACACCCGAUUUCUCUUCCCUCCUUGACAGUACACUCGGCUGCAGACUCCCUCCUCCUUCCCCACUCUGGCCACCCUGAAAGAAGAAGGACAGCGUAAGGCCUGGGCCUCCUUUGACCCUAAGGCCCUUCUGCCCCUCCCGGAGGCCUCCUACCUGCCCAGCUGCCAACUCAAUCGCCGCCUGGCUUGGUCCUGGCUCUGUCUGCUGCCCUCUGCCUUCUGCCCAGCCCAGGUUUUACUUGGGGUUCUGGUGGCUUCAUCUCAUAAAGGUUGUCUGCAACUUCGGGACCAAAGUGGUUCCCUGCCCUGCCUGCUCCUGGCCAAGCACUCUCAACCCCUCAGUGACCCACGGC